Molecule: ribosomal RNA, 509 nt
Filed under: uncultured bacterium
Lineage: Bacteria
Description: bacterial SSU rRNA
Rfam family: Bacterial small subunit ribosomal RNA
Source: RNAcentral
UAGUCCACGCCGUAAACGAUGAUAACUAGCUGUCCGGGCUCAUAGAGCUUGGGUGGCGCAGCUAACGCAUUAAGUUAUCCGCCUGGGGAGUACGGUCGCAAGAUUAAAACUCAAAGGAAUUGACGGGGGCCCGCACAAGCGGUGGAGUAUGUGGUUUAAUUCGAAGCAACGCGCAGAACCUUACCUACCCUUAACAUUUCACGCUCGCCUCAGAGAUGAGGUUUUCUCUUCGGAGACGUGAGGAUAGGUGCUGCAUGGCUGUCGUCAGCUCGUGUCGUAAGAUGUCUGGUCAAGUCCAAUAACGAGCGCAACCCUUAUCCUUAGUUACCAGCAUUGAGUUGGGGACUCUAGGGAGACUGCCGGUGUUAAACCGGAGGAAGGUAAGGAUGACGUCAAGUCAGCAUGCCCCUUAUGCUCUGGGCUACACACGUGCUACAAUGGCCGUGACAAAGAGUUGCUACUUUGUGAAAACAGCUAAUCUCAUAAACGCGGCCUCAGUUCGGAUUGCG